Cyprinus carpio carpio is the source of this 1918-nucleotide long non-coding RNA. The record is from Ensembl. NCBI's taxonomy places the organism in Eukaryota, Metazoa, Chordata, Actinopteri, Cypriniformes, Cyprinidae.
UUCUUAUUCAGAGUAUGCAGUUGUGACAACAAUCUAUCAGGUUUGUCUAAACCAAGGUUGUAUGUAGUCAGUGUUUAUAUAAUGUUUAAUAACAUUUAUAUUCAAGUAUGGAAAUCUUUUCUGAAAUCCUCAGUGAAGUUAUUUUGUCAGCGGGGUAACUGUGCAUAUUUGACACUUUCUCUGGUAUGCAGAUGGUUUAGGGAUGUGGUCACUCAAGAAGUUUUUCGGAAAGCAGCACACUUUGCCUGUUUAGACAGUGUGGCCAACUGGAAGAAUUUCACUCCCAUCUACCGGAAAGAGUUCAGAUGCAUGUACAGCUUCAGGGAAUGCUUGCAGUGCAGAACCCUUUUCCAGUCAUACCCACCAGAGUAUAGGGGAAGAGGCCGACAUGGUGAACUUCUGGGCUUUUACUCAGAUGUUUACACAGGAUUUUGCUCCCAGAACUGUUUUUGCGGCAGGAAAAACAUUGGUGUCUUAAGUUCAUAGAAGGGAAAGAGAGAAUGAACUGAGAGCAACUGGUUUUGAUGUAUUAAUUGAUGUCAUUUAAAGUUAAACUUUGCAGUGUAUAGUGUUUUAAUAAAAAAGCUAUGGCAAACACGUGCAUGACAACAAGUUUCAGUCAUUUACAUCAGUCUAUCAUUAUUUAAGGUUUCCCAUUUAAUUAAUGAAUUCUUAAUUUAGUUGUGACAGCUCUGUGUAAUAUUUCAAUAACCAAUGAUUUUAAAAGUGUUUAAGCAGGUAACUUCAUAAAUUCAGGAUUAAUGAGGUUUUCAGUAAUGCAGUUCAGAUAACAAAUAACAGAAAAAGUGACAAGUGUUUUUGGGUUCCAGUUCUUUAGAAACUGUAUAGUUCCUUCCUUGCAAAAAGUAGCCAUGGUUUUACUGUAGUAAAAAUAUUUGUUGGCAUAUAUGGCAUAAUGUGAAUAUAUAAAUCAAGGUACAUCUACAUAACCAUACUUGCAUUAUAUUGCAGUGUCACUUACAAAAACCAGCAAAUAAAGCCGAGGUAGUGUCCAAUAUAGCCGUUGAGUGAGAAAUUGUAAAUUAGACCAUUUAUUUCUAUUCUGUUCAUUGUAAUCCACCACUCUUUGUAUUUCUACUUUCAUGGGAUGUUGUGGAAACGCAACAAUAAAUGCAAAAACACUACAUUUAUAUUCGCUUUUUAAUUUAUAUUAAAAGUUUAUUCGUCUGAAUGUCUACUUCCACAUUCCAAGCCUGCUCACAGUCAUAAUUCUCUACACCAAUAAGCUCAUUUUAAUCAUAAACCAAUAACUGUUCAGGUGGGCGGGGUGACACCUGUCGCCCUGCCCCAACGUGUCACCCCGUCCCAUCUUCCAAUCUGCACUCUGGCCUACUAUGCACCGGCUGGUUUAGGACUGUCAUGGAUAAAUAAAGAUGGCAAUAAAACCGCCUGUAGGUGGCAGCAAAUCCCUGUUUUAAUAUAUGAUUUAUUGAAUCAUUAAAACCAAACGAUUCGUUCAAAACGGCUGAUUCAAUUAGAAACAAAACAAGUAAAUGGACCAUUGAAUCACUGGCUCACAUGAUUUGUUCAAAAACAGAUUCAUUCAAGGAAUAAAAUGCGUUGCUCUACACUGUUCUAUACAAUAAAAAUACAUAAAAACUCAUACAUGGAUAUUUUUUCUUUCAUUGCUUGAAUUAUAAGGGCAUUCUAACUGCAUUCUAAUGGGCUUCAUCGCGCAGCGAAUGCUUCUUGACUCUCAAGAUGUUUUUUUUUUCUUAGAGUCUUAGAGUCUUAAAGUCGGUGAUACUCCUCAGCUCUCCUAUUGUCUCUCAGUCUCUCACAGUCACACAUACAGCACAAUGACAUUAUGUCAGGAGAAUGUCUUUAAAUUCUAAUCAAGGAAAAAUCAUACCUUCUGUUGUCUUCUUUUUAAAGAACUUCAAAAGUUCAAGCCCUG